RNAcentral lists this ribosomal RNA (717 nucleotides) under Streptomyces sp. Sp080513KE-17. RNAcentral describes it as "bacterial SSU rRNA". It matches the Rfam family "Bacterial small subunit ribosomal RNA", at positions 40 to 774 of the family's 1533-position model. The record is from RNAcentral. Lineage: Bacteria; Bacillati; Actinomycetota; Actinomycetes; Kitasatosporales; Streptomycetaceae.
CGGCGUGCUUAACACAUGCAAGUCGAACGAUGAACCACUUCGGUGGGGAUUAGUGGCGAACGGGUGAGUAACACGUGGGCAAUCUGCCCUGCACUCUGGGACAAGCCCUGGAAACGGGGUCUAAUACCGGAUAUGACCCUCGCAGGCAUCUGUGAGGGUGUAAAGCUCCGGCGGUGCAGGAUGAGCCCGCGGCCUAUCAGCUUGUUGGUGAGGUAACGGCUCACCAAGGCGACGACGGGUAGCCGGCCUGAGAGGGCGACCGGCCACACUGGGACUGAGACACGGCCCAGACUCCUACGGGAGGCAGCAGUGGGGAAUAUUGCACAAUGGGCGAAAGCCUGAUGCAGCGACGCCGCGUGAGGGAUGACGGCCUUCGGGUUGUAAACCUCUUUCAGCAGGGAAGAAGCGAGAGUGACGGUACCUGCAGAAGAAGCGCCGGCUAACUACGUGCCAGCAGCCGCGGUAAUACGUAGGGCGCAAGCGUUGUCCGGAAUUAUUGGGCGUAAAGAGCUCGUAGGCGGCUUGUCACGUCGGUUGUGAAAGCCCGGGGCUUAACCCCGGGUCUGCAGUCGAUACGGGCAGGCUAGAGUUCGGUAGGGGAGAUCGGAAUUCCUGGUGUAGCGGUGAAAUGCGCAGAUAUCAGGAGGAACACCGGUGGCGAAGGCGGAUCUCUGGGCCGAUACUGACGCUGAGGAGCGAAAGCGUGGGGAGCGAACA